This 497-nucleotide ribosomal RNA is filed under the name uncultured bacterium. RNAcentral's name for it is "partial 16S ribosomal RNA". It matches the Rfam family "Bacterial small subunit ribosomal RNA", at positions 28 to 507 of the family's 1533-position model. The record is from RNAcentral.
GAUGAACGCUGGCGGCGUGCCUAAUACAUGCAAGUCGAGCGAACAGACGAGGAGCUUGCUCCUCUGACGUUAGCGGCGGACGGGUGAGUAACACGUGGAUAACCUACCUAUAAGACUGGGAUAACUUCGGGAAACCGGAGCUAAUACCGGAUAAUAUAUUGAACCGCAUGGUUCAAUAGUGAAAGACGGUUUUGCUGUCACUUAUAGAUGGAUCCGCGCCGCAUUAGCUAGUUGGUAAGGUAACGGCUUACCAAGGCAACGAUGCGUAGCCGACCUGAGAGGGUGAUCGGCCACACUGGAACUGAGACACGGUCCAGACUCCUACGGGAGGAAGCAGUAGGGAAUCUUCCGCAAUGGGCAAAAUCUUGACGGAGCAACGCCGCGUGAGUGAUGAAGGUCUUCGGAUCGUAAAACUCUGUUAUUAGGGAAGAACAAAUGUGUAAGUAACUAUGCACGUCUUGACGGUACCUAAUCAGAAAGCCACGGCUAACUACGUG